GCCACCACCACCAGCAUCCAUCGCUUCCAAACAGAGGCGUACACAGGCUAUUCCAAAACUUCCCGACACCAACGAUCGCAGGGCAUGCACGUUUCAUGGUCCGGGGAGGAGACAAUUUACAAGGCCAGUUGUCAAUCAGCACGCCACGCUCUACUGGUACUACUGUCUCCUCGCUCCGUCUCCGUCGUCCGUCCCCUCGGGCGCGCCGCCGGGCUCCGUCGCCGCCGCGGCCCCAGCGCCAGCGCCAGCGACGGCGCCGCCUCCGCCCUCGUCCGUUGCCUGGGCGAGCACGGUGGCGCCGACGCAGGGCCCGCAGGUGCGCUCCACCCAGGCCUCCAGGUCGCGGGCGCCGCCGUGCGCC
Molecule: unclassified non-coding RNA, 361 nt
Filed under: Zea mays
Lineage: Eukaryota; Viridiplantae; Streptophyta; Magnoliopsida; Poales; Poaceae
Description: misc RNA Zm00001eb145300
Source: RNAcentral